CUACGGGAUGCAGCAGUCGAGAAUCUUCCGCAAUGGGCGCAAGCCUGACGGAGCAAUGCCGCGUGAGGGAUGACGGCCCUAGGGUUGUAAACCUCUGUCAGAAGGGACGAAGAACGUGACGGUACCUUCAGAGGAAGCCAUGGCUAACUACGUGCCAGCAGCCGCGGUAAUACGUAGAUGGCGAGCGUUAUUCGGAUUUACUGGGCGUAAAGGGUCCGUAGGGGGUCUGCCAAGUCUGAUGUGAAAUCCUGCGGCUCAACCGCGGAACUGCAUUGGAAACUGGCGGACUAGAGUGUGCGAGGGGUGAGCGGAAUUCCUGGUGUAGCGGUGGAAUGCGUAGAUAUCAGGAAGAACACCGAUGGCGAAGGCGGCUCACUGGCGCAUCACUGACCCUGAGGGACGAAAGCGUGGGUAGCAAACAGGAUUAGAUACCCUUGUAGUC
RNAcentral lists this ribosomal RNA (442 nucleotides) under uncultured bacterium. RNAcentral's name for it is "partial 16S ribosomal RNA". It matches the Rfam family "Bacterial small subunit ribosomal RNA", at positions 339 to 795 of the family's 1533-position model. The record is from RNAcentral.